GUCCGAAUGGUGAACGUCAGACUAUUAAUCAGCGGGUCCAAGGUUCGAGUCCUUGUGCGCCCACCA
RNAcentral lists this transfer RNA (66 nucleotides) under uncultured Defluviicoccus sp. RNAcentral describes it as "Pseudo tRNA". The record is from RNAcentral. Lineage: Bacteria; Pseudomonadati; Pseudomonadota; Alphaproteobacteria; Rhodospirillales; Rhodospirillaceae.